This 483-nucleotide ribosomal RNA is filed under the name uncultured bacterium. Its description in RNAcentral is "partial 16S ribosomal RNA". It matches the Rfam family "Bacterial small subunit ribosomal RNA", at positions 28 to 523 of the family's 1533-position model. The record is from RNAcentral.
GACGAACGCUGGCGGCGUGCUUAACACAUGCAAGUCGAACGAUGAAGCUGGAGCUUGCUCCGGUGGAUUAGUGGCGAACGGGUGAGUAACACGUGAGCAAUCUGCCCUUGACUCUGGGAUAACUGCGGGAAACUGUAGCUAAUACCGGAUACGACACCUUGGGGCAUCCCAGGGUGUGGAAAGAAUUUCGGUCAAGGAUGAGCUCGCGGCCUAUCAGCUAGUUGGUGAGGUAAUGGCUCACCAAGGCGACGACGGGUAGCCGGCCUGAGAGGGUGACCGGCCACACUGGAACUGAGACACGGUCCAGACUCCUACGGGAGGCAGCAGUGGGGAAUAUUGCACAAUGGGCGAAAGCCUGAUGCAGCAACGCCGCGUGAGGGAUGAAGGCCUUCGGGUUGUAAACCUCUUUUAGCAGGGAAGAAGCGAAAGUGACGGUACCUGCAGAAAAAGCACCGGCUAACUACGUGCCAGCAGCCGCAGUAA